Non-coding RNA from Mycena alexandri, 97 nucleotides. Lineage: Eukaryota; Fungi; Basidiomycota; Agaricomycetes; Agaricales; Mycenaceae. The record is from the annotation of a GenBank genome assembly.
GACCUGGUGGCGUAACUGUUAACGCACACAUUUACUGUAGGUUGAUGACACAUAAUCAGUUAAAUGCGAGACCCUCGUUCGAUUCCAGGUCAGGCCA